Long non-coding RNA from Strongylocentrotus purpuratus (purple sea urchin), 416 nucleotides. RefSeq lists it as uncharacterized. The transcript has 3 exons. NCBI's taxonomy places the organism in Eukaryota, Metazoa, Echinodermata, Echinoidea, Camarodonta, Strongylocentrotidae. The record is from RefSeq and is a predicted model, not a curated record.
CGUUUUUUGUGUGCAUGGUAGUCAAUAUGGUUAUUAUCCACCAACAUCAUUCUAUUGCUUCGUGAUUCUGAAGUUAUCAUCAACCAUCUUAUCUGGACGGUAACUACUCGCUUGCUGAAAGAGACCAUGAAGGCUGUGGUGAUUGUAGAAAGGAGCGCCGCUCUUCUUCUUGCUUGCAUUGAAAAUCUGGUCCAUGGGGGUGUCAUUUUUGGCUGGCCCUCACUCGUGUUCAUUCUUAUACAGCUCGGCUAUUUCAGUGACCUGUGCAACAACACCAGCGAAAACCGUACUCUCUCGCCUCUGAACAUUAGCAUGACCAUUGACGGUGACAGCUCAGAGAGAGCAUCAUAUAACCAGACAUGUCUCGAGCAGGACAGCCGCCUGCAGCUUGUCUACUCCAUGGCAGUGGCUUCACA